AUUGAACGCUGGCGGCAUGCCUUACACAUGCAAGUCGAACGGCAGCACGGACUUCGGUCUGGUGGCGAGUGGCGAACGGGUGAGUAAUAUAUCGGAACGUGCCCUAGAGUGGGGGAUAACGUAGCGAAAGUUACGCUAAUACCGCAUACGAUCUAAGGAUGAAAGUGGGGGAUCGCAAGACCUCAUGCUCGUGGAGCGGCCGAUAUCUGAUUAGCUAGUUGGUGGGGUAAAAGCCUACCAAGGCGACGAUCAGUAGCUGGUCUGAGAGGACGACCAGCCACACUGGGACUGAGACACGGCCCAGACUCCUACGGGAGGCAGCAGUGGGGAAUUUUGGACAAUGGGGGCAACCCUGAUCCAGCAAUGCCGCGUGUGUGAAGAAGGCCUUCGGGUUGUAAAGCACUUUUGGCGGGAACGAAACGGUGGGGGCUAAUAUCCUCUGCUAAUGACGGUACCCGCAGAAUAAGCACCGGCUAACUACGUGCC
Molecule: ribosomal RNA, 486 nt
Filed under: uncultured beta proteobacterium
Lineage: Bacteria; Pseudomonadati; Pseudomonadota; Betaproteobacteria
Description: bacterial SSU rRNA
Rfam family: Bacterial small subunit ribosomal RNA
Source: RNAcentral